UCUGUGGUUUCUGCCUCAAAAUGGCUGCUGCCAACCAGCAAAGCAGAAAUAUUCAAGGAAGUAAGAAAGUUGACAGAUCAGCUUAAUGAAUCUGUUGAGCAUAUGGUGAGGUUUUGGCAUAUUUUUUAAUGUGCGGAAUUUUUGCAUAAAGAGCAUGUGGUUAGCAAGACCUGAGUACAUUUCUAAUUUUUCAGUUGUAUUAAGGCACUAACCUAAGCAUCAUGCAAUACAUUGGUAUUUCAGGCAUAAUAACAGGCAUAUUCCUCUUGGUCAGGGGCAUAGCUGUCAACUUUCAGAUUUGAAAAUAAGGGAUCAGCAGCCUCACCUGUCCCGGGGACAGUCUACGGGAUAUCUAACAAUCCGUGAUAGCAGCGGGGAACAGCGGGGAACGGUGCUGGAAUAAGUGAAUUUCCCGCAAAAAAAGGGAAGGUUGACAGCUAUGGUCAGGGGUCAGCAAACUUUUUCAGCAGGGGGCCAGUCUACUGUCCCUCAGACCUUGUGGGGGGUCGGACUAUAUUUUGAAGGGAAAAAAUGAACGCAAUCCUUUGCCCUGCAAAUAACCCAGCGAUGCAUUUUAAAUAAAAUCACACAUUCUACUCAUGUAAAAACACACUGAUUCCCAGACCGUCCGUGGGCUGCAUUAAGAAGGCAAUUGGGCCAGAUCCGGCCCCUGGGCCUUAGUUUGCCUACCCAUGCUCUUGGUAGUUUGAAUAUUUCCACUGAAAUUUGUCAGCUGGAGCAAAAGAUAUUUGAUUUGCAGAAAAUGGAACUUUGUUUUCAUUUGAGGCUAUCCUUCUCUUUGAGGCUUUGUAUUUAAUUGUGUUGCAAAAUGCACCCACUCACCAAUGGAAGUAUAACAUACCAUUAUGCACUUACUGAUAUGGCUGCAAGGUAGUGGAGGGCUUGCCUCCUUUUCCUUUAAGUCACUUUUUGCUUUUGCCUGCUGGCAGCCAUAAAUUGAGAUAAUAUUCCACAGUGCCAGUAUAUUACUUAGAAGGAUCCCCCCCCCCCCAUCACAAAUGAUGCUGCAAAAAAGGUGGGUGUUCAUUUUUGUGUGUUUUGUACAUGAUAUGUUCUGUCAUUCAAGCUGUAAGGGAGUUAUUCUUAUUGUUCAUCCGCUUCAGUAAAACUGCAAGAUUUUGGGUAGUCUUCACCUGAUUUACUCCUAUAUAAACACUGAUUUUUCUGUUGAAUAAGAUGCUUUCCGUAAUGAAGAAUAAGGCUCUGUAAGGUUUUAGUAUAAUAUGUAAGUGAAAAGCACUCCAGCCAUCAGUUCAGAUAUAUGAGUUUAGACACUGGAACUCAUAUUUAACUGUAGAUUCCUCAGGUAAACGAAGAUAAGGGAGGACAGCAAUAUACACCCGCAGAAAAAGAACAGUAGACUUGGAGGUGGGGAACAGAUUUCAGGUUGAAAAUUCCAGAAUUUAAUACUUCACAGUUCAGUGUUCACUACUAGCACAACCCAUCAUCAACCAAUUGGAAGUUUGAGUUUCGAGGACCAUUGAACACUGAACAUUUGCAAUGUACUGCAAUUACAGGAGCAAUUGUGCUAAAUAACUUUGUGCUGAUAGUGCAUGAACAUGUGCAUUUUUCUCAUCAGCUUUCCAAAUUUCGCAUUUCUUCCUGUCGGAGACGUUGACUGCUCACCAGACUGGGAUACUGAAUGCUUUAGGUCAUGGAGUUAUUGCUUCACUAACUUCAAAAACAUGCCUGAACCCAUUUACUUAUCUUGCUGAAGUGGCAGUAUUUCUAUUUAGUGUUUUCUUUUGACAUUUAACUAUUACAUUUGUAUUUCAUGGAGCAGUGCAGUGCAGAGAUUUGACACUUGAAGAUAUACAUUUAGUGUAAAUUGAGGACUUUUGUGGCUGUAGUCCAUAUUUGCUGCAGUUUAAAUGCAAGUAGAGAUUACUGCCCGCCCGCGUGCCCCACUUCUUUUCUCAAAGUGAUAAAUACCUAUUACUGCUGGACAGCAUUGUAUCACAUCAAGUAAGAUAGCAAUAGUUUUUCAGGGCACAGAAUAUUCAUUUUGAGUUUAGUGCCAUAUAUAUCUUUCCUAAGGAUAUAAGCAUAAAACACUCAACAACUGACUUUUCAUGCACAGAUAUUGGGGAAACAAUUGUGGAGAAAACCACAUAUCGUGGUAAAAGUAUUUAGAAUCUGCACCUAUUAGGCAAUUCAGUCUAUAUACUGGCAAUGAGAAAUGAACUGUGGAAUGGAAAUGUGUGCAUGCAUGUGUGUGUGUGUAUAUAUAUAUUCUGUGUUGGAGGGCCACAUUGGCCAUGACCUUUUCACAGUAGAUGGCAAUUGUGUGACCUUUGUGAAAGGAAAUUGUGGGGUUGCCCCAGUUCCCAAAAGACAGGUGCUUAUAUUCAUCAAAAUCUAAAUUUUCUUUUCUCUUAAACAGAUAGAACACAUGGCAUUUACAUUUUUAUGGGACCAUUAUAAAAAGCUUUAGUGAUAUCAACAAAAUGAUCAAGCAGUUUAAAACUAUAUGCUGAGAACAGGGGAAAGACUUUCUAGCUCUGGAAAUUCAAAAUCCCUUCAUCAAAUAAUAUUCCACUGACCUAGAAUAAUUAGAUGUUAUCCAGGCACUGAAUCCCAAUAAAAGGUUAUUUAUAAAUCCUACUUUGAAUAUAAAAGAUAAUAUAACCUUUUGAAAGAGAUCUUACAAAAUAAUAUAUGUACAGUGAAAUCUAUUUUCUACAGGUACAUAAGGAAGUAUAAGAGUUGUCUGAUAGUAACCCACUUUGGGAAACACUGGUCUUGGAUAUUCCAGCCAACCCUCCUCUUUAACAUUUCUUUCUCUUCUUAUUUCCUGUCUUCCAACUAUAUUUCCCAGCAGGGGGCACCCUAAACGUACUUGACUACAAGCAAGAGACCAGCUUGAUAUUUGAGGGCAUAUCGCUUUAUCACAUUAUUUUGUGGGUGUUACCUACAUUGCAAUAUUGGCAUUCUUGUGAGGUUGGGAGGGUGUCGGUCUGGAUGGUGCCCUGAAUCCCUUCCAGUUAUUGGUGUCUUGUAUCCAAGGAGGGUUAGAAUCCAGUAAAGGAGGUUGCUGAACCAGUCAUACAAGUUUCUAUCUAAGACACUGGUCUUAGCUGACCACUUAAGUGUCCUGAUCAGCAUCUCAGAGAAUGAGCUAGGUUGCAAUACCUACAGCUAAGUAAUGGGGAACCACAGGUCAAAGUGGGGCUGGACUAGACAGUUAUGUGUGAGAGAGCAAAAGGCUAGAAGCUUCAGACAGAGAGACCUGUUUUGCUGUGUGCUAGAUCCAAAGCUGUGACUAAUGGAGAAGCAAUAUCUUUGGGAGUGUUACUGCUAUGAGCCCCUCCAUCCUAUGCUUGGGUUGUAUAUUUGUGUAAAUAAAACCAUAUAUCCUAAAAACAGCACAGCCUCUGCUGACCUUCAUCCUGAGGAAACUAAACCCUUGGUAAGUGCUGGAAGCCCUGUAGUGUCUCCCUGCUUGGAGAGUGGGAUGGUAUGUAAAAGUAUUAUACCAUGUAGGAGCCAGACAUCUUCAACUUAGCUAAAUCCCUUUUUGUUGCCUCUUCUUCCCUGUCACCAUGCCCUUUAACCAUGUUUUCUGUUUUCUUCAUGUUAAUCAAGACCCUUGCAAGAAGGACAAGCCAGUGUUUUUCCCAACAGGAAACUCUAUAUGAGGGUUCUAAGGAACCUGGAGUAGAAACUGGACUUUGGUUCAGGGGCUCCUUACAAGGGCUUGUUUGUUUUGUUUACAGGACUCCUUUCAGAAAAAAACAGAAGAAACUUGCAAGUUUUCUCAGUCUCUCCAAUUUAGCCAAUUUGCUGCAUGGAGCCCUGAAGUCAUGUCAUGGUGAAAUUAAGGAAAUAUUUUUGCUUUACUCUGUCUUCCUCUGGACUUGUAAUUAUUAGCAUAUCACAUCUCCCUCCUGUCUCUACAUUUCUCACUUCCCUAACCUCACUGUCUUCCAACUUCAGUCAUUUGCAUUUGAGCUCCCCACCCCUGCCAGUGCAUUUAAGCUUCCACUAUAAUUCUACAGGUUCUGUAGCACCCGCGCCCACUCCACAUAAGGCAAUAUCACUGCAUCUAUCUCUAUGUCCAUGAUAGGAACUGUUUAAGUGUAAGCUGAUGGUCAAAGUAACACGGGUUGAGUACCCUGUGUAACAUGUAACAACCAACUGCCUUGCUGGGUUCCUUUUUACUAUUAUAUUGGCACUCCAAGCUGCUGACCCAUUUUACCUACUGCCCA
Molecule: non-coding RNA, 4229 nt
Organism: Podarcis lilfordi (Lilford's wall lizard)
Lineage: Eukaryota; Metazoa; Chordata; Lepidosauria; Squamata; Lacertidae
Source: the annotation of a GenBank genome assembly